UGUACCUCUAUAAAGAAAGGGACAGUUUCUGGAUCUACAUUAUUGUUAGACUUAAUGUGCAAAACCGCAAUUCCGAAACCCUACAAAUUAUGAGAAAGAAAAAGCUUUAAGCUGAAAAGAAAAAAAAAUUGCAAAUCUUGAUGUAGGAAUGAAGUCUCCAGAAUGAUAAAACUUUAAGCGAUUUUAUAUCAAGACUUUGAAAUAAUAUGAUCCCCAUGGAUCGAAAAGUUGCAGCUUCCCAGCUUUCCCAUGAACUUACUCCAGUGUAGGUCUCUCUGCUUCUUUUUUUUUUUUAAUAAAAAAAAGUCUCUCC
Molecule: long non-coding RNA, 313 nt
Filed under: Elaeis guineensis (African oil palm)
Lineage: Eukaryota; Viridiplantae; Streptophyta; Magnoliopsida; Arecales; Arecaceae
Description: long non-coding RNA (EGUI_LNC013580)
Source: RNAcentral